AUGACAUUCACUAGUGUGAUGAUG
Molecule: non-coding RNA, 24 nt
Filed under: Arabidopsis thaliana (thale cress)
Lineage: Eukaryota; Viridiplantae; Streptophyta; Magnoliopsida; Brassicales; Brassicaceae
Source: RNAcentral